RNAcentral lists this unclassified non-coding RNA (312 nucleotides) under Lagenocarpus alboniger. RNAcentral describes it as "partial external transcribed spacer". Lineage: Eukaryota; Viridiplantae; Streptophyta; Magnoliopsida; Poales; Cyperaceae. The record is from RNAcentral.
GUUUUGCUGUUUGAUAGAUGGCAGCACAAGUGGCUGAUGGCGGAUCCUUGCGUGGAUGUGGGAUAUCCAUACCACUGCUCAAGGAUGUUGCUGGCUCCUAUGGACGCUGUGUGCAAUGAGCGAUCUGUUGGCCGUUGGCCAAGCAGUUUGCAUGAAGGAGGUCUCAUGCGCUAGCUCAUUUGGCUGAGCGGUGCGUGUGAGACUCCCCUGUUCGCUUGAGCGGUUGCCGCUGCACGUCAUGUGUGGGACCCAACUUGUAUAGGGGGUUUGCCGACAUGAUGCGCCGGCUCUUUGCUUAGGGCGUGCUACCUG